GUAUUAAACUGUAGUAACUCCAAAUCAGAAGGCUACUUAUCAGACAAGAGCUUUUGCUUGUUUAGCGGACACCCCCCAAAAAAAAUCCUUGUCCUUUCCUGUUAUUUUUCCUAGUCACGUAAGUUGUUUGUUUGUACAGAAGAGACAAGAAAAGGAUCGAGAAGAAUCCCCUCCUGUCCCCCUGUUUGUUUAACCAAGUUCUUUAAUGAUCCCUCCGCAGGUUCACCUACGGAGA
This 235-nucleotide unclassified non-coding RNA is filed under the name uncultured fungus. RNAcentral's name for it is "sequence contains ITS1". Lineage: Eukaryota; Fungi. The record is from RNAcentral.